This 4615-nucleotide long non-coding RNA is filed under the name Vitis vinifera (wine grape). Its description in RNAcentral is "long non-coding RNA (VVIN_LNC005929)". Lineage: Eukaryota; Viridiplantae; Streptophyta; Magnoliopsida; Vitales; Vitaceae. The record is from RNAcentral.
ACUUUUAUUAUAGUCCUUCCCCUGAUUGCUUAAAACAUGAUCACAAUAUUAGUAAGUAAUAACAGUGAUAGUAGAACUCAAUACUUCUUUUGAUGUAUGAAGGUGAAACACAUAGAUAAAGGAAUCAAUCCUUCAUCUGCAAGUCAAAUAUAUUUCAGUGGUGUUUAUCUCCUAAAAGGAUUUAAAAUUGGUGUUGUGGCUGGUUUGAUAGCAUUGACGGUAAGCCAAUUCCACCCCAGUUUGCAAGAAAAUUUUGAUAAUCAGUUUUGUCUCUUAAAUCUUGUCUAUCCCAUUUUUGUUUGAUGUGGGGGUUUUGAUGUAUGUCAGGAAGCCGUGGCAAUUGGCAGAACAUUUGCUUCCAUGAAGGACUAUCAACUGGAUGGAAACAAAGAAAUGGUGGCCCUAGGAGCAAUGAAUAUUGUUGGUUCAAUGACUUCUUGCUAUGUGGCAACAGGUGAGAAGAAAACACAAACAAGCUCAUAGAAAUCUAUCUGAUUUUGAAUGAUGAUACAUGUGAAGUAAUGGCAAGAGAUGACGAUAGCUGAUCCACAAAAGAAUUCAGGACAAAGAAAGUUCUAAUAAAUAAAUUAAAAUUUUCCACCAGCCACUUUAUCACAAUUGUUUGAAGUGUAGAUCAGAAUAAGCCUACAACAAAGAAACGGCUAGCAACUGGAUAGUUAUAAUCUUCUGAUUGAGUCAAAUGUAGCAGGGACAUUUUCAAUGGUUGGCAUUUGGACAGUACUAGAAAGUGAUCUAAGAAUGGUUAGUACUUUAAACAAAUCAUACCUACUCUUUUCUUUGCAGGUUCCUUCUCUCGUUCAGCAGUAAACUACAUGGCCGGAUGCAAGACUGCAGUCUCUAACAUUGUGAUGUCCUGUGUUGUAUUCCUAACCCUGGAAUUCAUCACACCUCUUUUCAAAUACACCCCAAAUGCCAUUCUUGCUUCCAUCAUUAUAUCUGCUGUGAUUGGCCUAAUUGACUACGAUGCAGCAAUUCUGAUAUGGAAGAUUGAUAAAUUUGAUUUUGUUGCUUGCAUGGGAGCCUUCUUUGGUGUGGUUUUUAAAUCUGUUGAGAUUGGUCUCUUAAUUGCGGUAAAGGGUCAAGAUAUCUGCCACCUUGAAGUCUUAUUGUUCUAGUACAUGUUACCGACCUAAUUGUCUUGAUUCUGUUUUCACCUAUUGUUAUGGCAGGUUGCCAUAUCCUUUGCCAAGAUCCUCCUACAAGUUACAAGGCCAAGGACUGCAAUUCUUGGGAAGCUCCCUAGGACAACUGUUUACAGGAACAUCCAACAAUAUCCAGAGGCAACUAAAAUUCCAGGCUUGUUAAUUGUGAGGAUUGAUUCUGCAAUCUACUUUUCCAAUUCUAACUACGUCAAGGAAAGGUAUGGAUCCCUUUUACCCUGCCUGUUAUUAUUUUCAGAACUUUUCAAUCUCUUGAUGAACUUCUGAAAUUGAAAGAAAGUGACCAACAUUAUCUAGACAAUUUAUGAGAAUCACUGGUAGAAAUUGGAACUUUGAUGAGGACUUUGAUUUCAAGUUUUGGUUUUAGCAAAACUAGAAUUAUUUAGUGAGGAUAUGUAAAGUUUGUGACUCAAUUAGUGUUGGUCCCACUUGUAAAUUGUAAUUGACCAACGAAGCACCAAGAGAGUUAAGAAUAGAAAAUUAUAGAUGAGACUAAAGUGGUACUUUCUAAAAAGAUUAUAUACAAGUUAAGAAUCCAAGAAGGUGAAUAGAAUAUUCCAUAAGUUAACAUAAUUACAAGAUAAUAAGAAUCAGUUUAUCGUUUAAUUUUAGUGAAAUUAUAUGUUUAUUCUAUGCCCAAUAUUUCUGUCUUGAUUAUGCAACAUAAUAGGAGGCUUAGGGCUUGUUUAACAACUAUUUUUUUAUAACAAUUUUCUGUUAUCCAGAACAAAAAAUUAAGAAAACACAUUUGUUAACAAAAAGUUGUUUUCUAUUUUCUAUUUUUUAUUCUUAAAAACAGAAAUUAACGUUUUUUCAAAUAACAUCUUUUAAGCGUUUUCAGUUGGAUUCACUUGUUUUUUGAGGUUUGUUUUAAAAAAUAAUUAUGCAAACAUGUAGAAUGAAUAAAAAUAAAAUAUUAAACAUAAAACUAUUUUUAAAACAUAUUUAAAAUAUUAAAAAUAGGUUAAAAAUAUUUCAUAUUUUCAAAAAGACUUUUGUUCUAUAAAACAUUAGAGAACAAUUUUAAAAAAUUAUCCUUAAAAAACUAUUUUUCAGAACUAUUUUUGAAAAUAGUUACCACACAAUCCCUUAGUACUUAAAAAUCGGUGGAAUGGUGUAUGGUGUACCAGCCCUUGUCCAAGUAUCUAAUUUAUCCCUUAUCCAACUAUCUAAUACGCCCCUGCUCCACAACCUAAAUUGAGCCCUUCCACUAGCUUUUCUUAUGCUCAAAAGUAUCAAAUUCCUUGCAGGAUACUGAGAUGGUUGACUGAUGAGGAAGAACACUUGAAAAAAGCCAACCUACCAAGAGUUCAAUUUUUGAUUGUUGAGAUGUCCCGUAAGCAAAUUUUUGCCAAUUUCCUAAACCCCAGUUUUCUAUUGACAAGCAUGUUGUGUUUUUCCAUGCUUAUUCCCAUUCACAUGUAUGCUCUCAUGUUUGUUGCAGCUGUAACUGACAUAGACACCAGUGGCAUCCAUGCAUUGGAAGAGUUACACAGGAGUCUCCUAAAGAGAGAUGUCAAAGUAAAUACAUCCACACUAAUUGCCCUCUAUGUUUCAAAAAAUCCACUUUGUAAAAAACUUAACACGGCAGAAUCACAUUACGUACUCUUUGGAAACAAUUCAUGUCUAUUAUAUAUUGUAUGAGCUUAGAGAUUACCUGAUUGAAAGCCCCCAUGUUUUUGUGCAGCUGGUUCUGGCAAAUCCUGGGCAAGUGGUUAUCGACAAGCUUCAUGCAUCCAAGUUCGCAGAUGAUAUCGGCGAGGACAAGAUCUUUCUCACGGUUGGAGAUGCUGUCGUAACCUGCUCUCCCAAGUUGGCAGAGGAAGUUUAAGCCUUUAAGGUGUUCCAAAAGCAGAAACAAAAAAGAAAAGAAUAGAAAAAUAAUGCAAUGUGGGUGAGAGAGAGAGAGAAAUGAGAUUGGCAUCUGUAAAUAGUGUUGAAGUGAAGAAAGAGGGAGCUCAGGGUCUGAUCCAUGGUGGGUGGGGUCACCAUACAGGUGGUUGAGUGCGUGGAUGGUCCCCCUCUUUUUUCCUCGUCUUUCUUUCCAUCAUUUUCCCUUUAAGCAUAAAAAAUGAAGAAGAAAGAAACUGUUAUUUCUCAAUUUUGGAUCAAAUUUCAGUUGCAUCCCCCACGCCCAAAAGCAUCAAAUGUUGCAGAGGUCAUCAAGCCCCAAAAGCUGUCAUCCAAAAAUGUCUACAUUGUAGUAGGACCCAUGAUCAAUAAUUACAAAUUUUGAUCCUCACCGCCUACUCCAUUGCCACCAAAUGCUUUUAAGCUUGCGUGAGUUUCAAAAUUUUGUAGGAAAAAAAAAAAUUCCAACACUCAUUCAAUGUCAUAAAAAUUUCAAUGAUUAAAUGAUGAACCAAUGAGGGAUACUAGAAGAAGGCAUAAAAGAGAAAGAGGCACUAUAUAUGAUUACAUCAUGCAUGCAUAUCUCAUUUAUGAGAUGAUCACAGAUUGAUCGUCAAGAAUUACUUUUCAACAAAAAGCUAAUACAUCUUUGCUACUUGAUUAUGUUCAGAUCAUCAAGCUUAUUAAAACAUACGGACUUAAUUUUCACAUACAUGUGAGCUAAUUGCAAGGGAAAAUGAGAGACGAAUGAACCAAAGCAAAAUUUACCUUGCAUCUGGAUAUGCCUUAAAGUGAAAAGUAGCACCGCAACAAGAUGAUCCAUGAACCUAGCUGCAAAUGCCGCCAGAUGCAUUCAUGUUUGUCUUAAGUUUCUCGAUAAAAUAAGCCCGCCAAAGAUCAGCCAAGAGGACUGCUGCAGUGAUGAACUACGCAUUCACUUAACUUUGCUAAUAAAAAUAAAAAUAAAAAUUUUAUGUGACUCUUAUAUGACAUGAAGAGGAUUAUUAUGUUAAUAAGUUUGAAAAGGUGACAUCUUGCCUAGAACAAUCCAUUCUUAAACUUGAAAAAGAUUGAAGGUGACUCAAAAUAGUAGUAAGUAAUAACAGUGAUAAAAUGAAUGAUGUGGGGGUUUUGAUGUAUGUCAGGAAGCCGUGGCAAUUGGCAGAACAUUUGCUUCCAUGAAGGACUAUCAACUGGAUGGAAACAAAGAAAUGGUGGCCCUAGGAGCAAUGAAUAUUGUUGGUUCAAUGACUUCUUGCUAUGUGGCAACAAGUGAUGUAAGAAUGGUUAGUGUUGUAUAACAAAUCAGACCUACUCUUUUCUUUGCAGGUUCCUUCUCUCGUUCAGCCGUAAACUACAUGGCCCGAUGCCAAACUACAGUCUCUAACAUUGUGAUGUCCUGUGUUGUUUUUCUAACCUUGGAAUUCAUCACACCUCUUUUCAAAUACACCCCAAAUGCCAUUCUUGCUUCCAUCAUUAUAUCUGCUGUGAUUGGCCUAAUUGACUAUGAGGCAGCAAUUCUGAUAUGGAAGAUUGAUAAAUUUGAUUUUGUUGCUUGCAUGGGAGCUUUCUUUGGCGUGGUU